Molecule: long non-coding RNA, 234 nt
Filed under: Lathyrus oleraceus (garden pea)
Lineage: Eukaryota; Viridiplantae; Streptophyta; Magnoliopsida; Fabales; Fabaceae
Description: Pisum sativum (pea) long non-coding RNA (PSAT_LNC035283)
Source: RNAcentral
AUUCUUGGAGUACUUGAGCAGUCCUCCACAAGUCGGUAGGCUUUGCUUCUUCAAUACAAAUUACUAUUAAAAUUAAAUAAAGUGUAGUAGUUCCCCAGUGUAGGAAACUACUACUAUGGCUAACUGGAAAACGGAAAGGAAAAAGGGAAACUCUAAAAAGAAUGGCGAAUACAAUAAGGCAAUAGAAACAAGGUUGCUGGAAAAGAAAAAAAAUGCUAAAAGCUAGAAAGCUGA